AGCCCGGUAUCCCAACCGGUAGAGGAAGCGGAUUCAAAACCCGUCAACGUGUGGGUUCGACUCCCACCCGGGCUA
Molecule: transfer RNA, 75 nt
Filed under: Algisphaera agarilytica
Lineage: Bacteria; Pseudomonadati; Planctomycetota; Phycisphaerae; Phycisphaerales; Phycisphaeraceae
Rfam family: tRNA
About the family: Transfer RNA (tRNA) molecules are approximately 80 nucleotides in length.
Source: Rfam by way of RNAcentral